UCUCCGUUGGUGAACCAGCGGAGGGAUCAUUAUAGAGUUUUCUAAACUCCCUACCCUUUGUGAACUUACCUUUGUUGCCUCGGCGGGGCCUACCCGGUACCGACCCCUUUUGGGCGAAGUUACCCUGUAGCCCGCCGGCGGCCCCUUACUCUUUGCCUCUCGCGUUGUCUCUCCGAGUAUCGCAGAAUGCAUAAAAACUUUCAACAACGGAUCUCUUGGCUCUGGCAUCGAUGAAGAACGCAGC
RNAcentral lists this unclassified non-coding RNA (244 nucleotides) under uncultured fungus. RNAcentral describes it as "sequence contains ITS1, 5.8S rRNA gene". The stretch from base 196 to 244 matches the Rfam family "5.8S ribosomal RNA", at positions 1 to 49 of the family's 154-position model. The record is from RNAcentral. Lineage: Eukaryota; Fungi.